Molecule: ribosomal RNA, 463 nt
Filed under: uncultured microorganism
Description: bacterial SSU rRNA
Rfam family: Bacterial small subunit ribosomal RNA
Source: RNAcentral
GAGUUUGAUCGUGGCUCAGAACGAACGGUGGCGGCGGGCCUAACACAUGCAAGUCGAACGCACUCUUCGGAGUGAGUGGCAGACGGGUGAGUAACGCGUGGGAACCUUCCCAAUGGUGCGGAAUAGCCCAGGGAAACUUGGGGUAAUACCGCAUACGCCUACGGGGAAGAUUUAUCGCCAUUGGAUGGCCGCGUCGGAUUAGCUUGUUGGUGAGGUAAUGGCUCACCAAGGCAACGAUCCGUAGCUGGUUUGAGAGAAUGACCAGCCACACUGGGACUGAGACACGGCCCAGACUCCUACGGGAGGCAGCAGUGGGGAAUCUUGGACAAUGGGCGAAAGCCUGAUCCAGCCAUGCCGCGUGAGUGACGAAGGCCUUAGGGUUGUAAAGCUCUUUUGGCGGGGACGAUAAUGACGGUACCCGCAGAAUAAGUCCCGGCUAACUUCGUGACAGCCGCGCCGUAAU